UAACGCGUGGGCAACCUGCCUUACACAGGGGGAUAACAGUUAGAAAUGACUGCUAAUACCGCAUAAGACCACAUUGCCGCAUGGCAGGGUGGUAAAAACUCCGGUGGUGUAAGAUGGGCCCGCGUCUGAUUAGGUAGUUGGCAGGGUAGAGGCCUACCAAGCCUACGAUCAGUAGCCGGCCUGAGAGGGUGGACGGCCACAUUGGGACUGAGACACGGCCCAAACUCCUACGGGAGGCAGCAGUGGGGAAUAUUGCACAAUGGGGGAAACCCUGAUGCAGCGACGCCGCGUGAGUGAAGAAGUACCUCGGUACGUAAAGCUCUAUCAGCAGGGAAGAAAGAAAUGACGGUACCUGAGUAAGAAGCCCCGGCUAACUACGUGCCAGCAGCCGCGGUAAUACGUAGGGGGCAAGCGUUAUCCGGAUUUACUGGGUGUAAAGGGAGCGUAGACGGCGAUGCAAGCCUGAAGUGAAAGCCCGGGGCUCAACCCCGGGACUGCUUUGGGAACUGUAUGGCUGGAGUGCAGGAGGGGUAGGCGGAAUUCCUAGUGUAGCGGUGAAAUGCGUAGAUAUUAGGAGGAACACCGGUGGCAAAGGCGGCCUACUGGACUGUAACUGACGUUGAGGCUCGAAAGCGUGGGGAGCAAACAGGAUUAGAUACCCUGGUAGU
RNAcentral lists this ribosomal RNA (668 nucleotides) under uncultured bacterium. RNAcentral describes it as "bacterial SSU rRNA". It matches the Rfam family "Bacterial small subunit ribosomal RNA", at positions 111 to 794 of the family's 1533-position model. The record is from RNAcentral.